Molecule: long non-coding RNA, 355 nt
Filed under: Heterocephalus glaber (naked mole-rat)
Lineage: Eukaryota; Metazoa; Chordata; Mammalia; Rodentia; Bathyergidae
Description: lncRNA (ENSHGLG00100049128.1)
Source: RNAcentral
CACAGGCUCCUUCAUCCUGCCACUCUUGGUCCUUAACCUGCAGCUUCCAUCUCACGGACACCUAGGGAUGCUGCAGCUCCUGCCAUCUCAUCUGCUCUCUAGGACGCCCUCAGCACAUGUUGCUGUUGUUCAGCAUGUGUUGUCGGAGUCACAUGGCGCCAUUUCUGCUGAAGUCCUGUCAUCCAGAAUUUAGUCACCGGCCGGCCAUCUGAGCUUCUGGGAGUGUGAGGAGAUAGCGUUUACCUUCGGAAUGUGCAGACUGAUGUUCACGUCCCGAUGCAAAGUCCAUUUUCAGCUUGCGGGGCGUGUGAAAACAGGCAGUGGCACGUGGCUUGCGGCCAGUUUGCGAGCCCCG